RNAcentral lists this ribosomal RNA (994 nucleotides) under Neosetophoma iranianum. RNAcentral's name for it is "SSU rRNA". It matches the Rfam family "Eukaryotic small subunit ribosomal RNA", at positions 76 to 1101 of the family's 1831-position model. The record is from RNAcentral. Lineage: Eukaryota; Fungi; Ascomycota; Dothideomycetes; Pleosporales; Phaeosphaeriaceae.
AUACCGUGAAACUGCGAAUGGCUCAUUAAAUCAGUUAUCGUUUAUUUGAUAGUACCUUACUACUUGGAUAACCGUGGUAAUUCUAGAGCUAAUACAUGCUGAAAACCCCAACUUCGGGAGGGGUGUAUUUAUUAGAUAAAAAACCAACGCCCUUCGGGGCUUCUUGGUGAUUCAUGAUAACUUUACGGAUCGCAUGGCCUUGCGCCGGCGACGGUUCAUUCAAAUUUCUGCCCUAUCAACUUUCGAUGGUAAGGUAUUGGCUUACCAUGGUUUCAACGGGUAACGGGGAAUUAGGGUUCGAUUCCGGAGAGGGAGCCUGAGAAACGGCUACCACAUCCAAGGAAGGCAGCAGGCGCGCAAAUUACCCAAUCCCGACACGGGGAGGUAGUGACAAUAAAUACUGAUACAGGGCUCUUUUGGGUCUUGUAAUUGGAAUGAGUACAAUUUAAACCUCUUAACGAGGAACAAUUGGAGGGCAAGUCUGGUGCCAGCAGCCGCGGUAAUUCCAGCUCCAAUAGCGUAUAUUAAAGUUGUUGCAGUUAAAAAGCUCGUAGUUGAAACUUGGGUCUGGCUGGCAGGUCCGCCUCACCGCGUGUACUUGUCCGGCCGGGCCUUCCUUCUGGAGAACCUCAUGCCCUUCACUGGGCGUGUUGGGGACCAGGACUUUUACUUUGAAAAAAUUAGAGUGUUCAAAGCAGGCCUUUGCUCGAAUACGUUAGCAUGGAAUAAUAGAAUAGACGUGCGGUCCUAUUUUGUUGGUUUCUAGGACCGCCGUAAUGAUUAAUAGGGACAGUCGGGGGCAUCAGUAUUCAAUUGUCAGAGGUGAAAUUCUUGGAUUUAUUGAAGACUAACUACUGCGAAAGCAUUUGCCAAGAUGUUUUCAUUAUCAGUGACGAAAGUUAGGGGAUCGAGACGAUCAGAUACGUCGUAGUCUUAACUAUGCGACUAGGAUCGGCGAUGUCUUUUUCUGACUCGCUCGCACUACGAGAAUCAG